AACGAACGCUGGCGGCAUGCCUAACACAUGCAAGUCGAACGAGACCUUCGGGUCUAGUGGCGCACGGGUGCGUAACGCGUGGGAACCUGCCCUUAGGUUCGGAAUAACUCCCCGAAAGGGGUGCUAAUACCGGAUAAUGUCUUCGGACCAAAGAUUUAUCGCCUUUGGAUGGGCCCGCGUUGGUUUAGCUAGUUGGUAGGGUAAAAGCCUACCAAGGCGACGAUCCAUAGCUGGUCUGAGAGGAUGAUCAGCCACACUGGGACUGAGACACGGCCCAGACUGGUACGGGAGGGAGCAGUGGGGAAUAUUAGGGAAGGGGCGAUAGCCUGAUCCAGCAGUGUCGCGUGAGUGAUGCAGGCGUUAGGGUUGUACAGCUCUUUUACCCGGGAUGAUAGUGACAGUACCGGGAGAAUAAGCACCGGCUAACUCCGUG
RNAcentral lists this ribosomal RNA (433 nucleotides) under uncultured bacterium. RNAcentral's name for it is "partial 16S ribosomal RNA". It matches the Rfam family "Bacterial small subunit ribosomal RNA", at positions 29 to 507 of the family's 1533-position model. The record is from RNAcentral.